Erinaceus europaeus (western European hedgehog) is the source of this 1083-nucleotide RNA transcript. It is a transcript of the gene named RAB4A, member RAS oncogene family, with no coding region annotated. The transcript has 9 exons. NCBI's taxonomy places the organism in Eukaryota, Metazoa, Chordata, Mammalia, Eulipotyphla, Erinaceidae. The record is from RefSeq and is a predicted model, not a curated record.
CCCCUCUCGGCUCCCCGCCCCCCCGCCUUUACCCACCGCGACGCCGCGGCCACCCAGCUCCUCUGCUCGCGCGGGCCGGGCUAGGCCGGAGCUGCAGCCCGAGACCGGCGGGAGGCGGUGCCACUUCCAAAAUGUCGCAGACGGCCAUGUCCGAAACCUACGAUUUUUUGUUUAAGUUCCUAGUAAUUGGAAAUGCAGGAACUGGCAAAUCUUGCUUACUUCAUCAGUUUAUUGAAAAAAAAUUCAAAGAUGAUUCAAAUCAUACAAUAGGAGUGGAAUUUGGCUCGAAGAUAAUAAAUGUUGGUGGUAAAUAUGUAAAGUUACAAAUAUGGGAUACAGCAGGCCAAGAACGAUUCAGGUCUGUGACAAGAAGUUACUACAGAGGUGCAGCAGGGGCUCUUCUGGUCUAUGACAUCACCAGCCGAGAAACCUACAAUGCGCUUACUAAUUGGUUAACAGAUGCCAGAAUGCUAGCGAGUCAGAACAUCGUGAUCAUCCUCUGUGGGAACAAGAAGGACCUGGAUGCUGAUCGUGAAGUCACUUUCCUAGAAGCAUCCAGAUUUGCUCAAGAAAAUGAGCUGAUGUUUUUGGAAACAAGUGCACUAACAGGGGAAAAUGUAGAAGAAGCCUUUGUACAGUGUGCAAGAAAAAUACUUAACAAAAUUGAAUCAGGUGAACUGGACCCAGAAAGAAUGGGCUCAGGUAUUCAGUAUGGAGAUACUGCCUUGAGACAACUGCGGUCCCCACGUCGCUCACAGGCUCCAAGUGCUCAGGAGUGUGGUUGUUAGAAUCAGCACAGGAGUACACAGGAUUAUCACUGGGUGCCAGCACUAUGAAUCCACUGUUCCUGGUAGCCAUUUUUUGUUUGUUUGUUUGUUUUGGAUAGGACAUUGAGAGAAGAGGAAGAGAUAGACACUUGCAGACCUGCUUUGCCACUUGUGAAGCUUCCCUCUUGCAGAUCUACAGAGUGAGCACGUUGCCUUUGAGUAGCCAGUCUCCUUUUUUCCACCUGUCUUCUGUUCUUGGCUCGCAAUGCUGAUUCAUGAAUCUAAAAAUAAUUAAAAAAAAAAAACAUAAUAACUU